RNAcentral lists this ribosomal RNA (423 nucleotides) under uncultured bacterium. RNAcentral's name for it is "bacterial SSU rRNA". It matches the Rfam family "Bacterial small subunit ribosomal RNA", at positions 359 to 776 of the family's 1533-position model. The record is from RNAcentral.
GAGGCUUCGGCAAUGGGGGCAACCCUGACCGAGCGACGCCGCGUGUGGGAUUGAAGGUGUUAUCAUCGUAAACCACUGUCCUGGGGGAAGAAUGCCCCGAUGGUGAAUCGGGGAAAGACGGUACCCCAGAAGAAAGCCCCGGCUAACUCCGUGCCAGCAGCCGCGGUAAUACGGAGGGGGCCAGCGUUGUUCGGAUUUACUGGGCGUAAAGGGAGCGUAGGCGGCUCGCCAAGUCCGGUGUGAAAGCUUUACCGCUCACCGGAAAGAGGUCAUCGGAAACUGGCGGGCUAGAGCAGGGUAGAGGCAAGUGGAAUUCCCGGUGUAGCGGUGGAAUGUGUAGAUAUCGGGAAGAACAUCGGUGGCGAAGGCGGCUUGCUGGGCCCUUGCUGACGCUGAGGCUCGAAAGCGUGGGGAGCGAACGGG